RNAcentral lists this long non-coding RNA (412 nucleotides) under Daphnia magna. Its description in RNAcentral is "uncharacterized LOC123471286, transcript variant X2". The record is from RNAcentral. Lineage: Eukaryota; Metazoa; Arthropoda; Branchiopoda; Diplostraca; Daphniidae.
UUAGUUUUAAUGGCAAUAACUAAACUUAAAUUAUCUUUUCCAGAAAACAGGAUUUCGUCACGCUUGCAAUGGAAAUGUAGAAACAUGAUUUCCGCGAAUCAUCCAGUAGCACGGCCAAAUGAAAACGAAAACAAUGACGCUGUUCCGUCGCCUAUACAAAGUUUGCACUGUAAAAAAAUGUUAUGAAUUCGGAAGAUUUUUGUGCCCGAAAAAAAUGAGCCGAGACACUGUUCCGCGCAACUUUUGUCACUAGCUGUAGUUGUGGAGAACCUACAACGCCAUCUAGUUAACAAUCCACCUUCAAACAAUUGAGGAACCACACGUUACGUGCUUUGUUGUUUGGUUGCAUUGGUAAAAAUAUAGACAACUGUGUGCAGUGUGCUAUCGAUAAUAAUAAUUAUUCAGGAACAAA